UCCUACGGGAGGCAGCAGUGGGGAAUAUUGGACAAUGGGCGAAAGCCUGAUCCAGCAACGCCGCGUGAGGGAUGACGGCCUUCGGGUUGUAAACCUCUUUCAGCAGGGACGAAGCGCAAGUGACGGUACCUGCAGAAGAAGCACCGGCCAACUACGUGCCAGCAGCCGCGGUAAUACGUAGGGUGCAAGCGUUGUCCGGAAUUAUUGGGCGUAAAGGGCUCGUAGGCGGUUUGUCACGUCGGGAGUGAAAACUCGGGGCUUAACCCCGAGCCUGCUUCCGAUACGGGCAGACUAGAGGUAUGCAGGGGAGAACGGAAUUCCUGGUGUAGCGGUGAAAUGCGCAGAUAUCAGGAGGAACACCGGUGGCGAAGGCGGUUCUCUGGGCAUUACCUGACGCUGAGGAGCGAAAGUGUGGGGAGCGAACAGGAUUAGAUACCCUGGUAGUCCACACCGUAAACGUUGGGCGCUAGGUGUGGGACUCAUUCCACGAGUUCCGUGCCGCAGCUAACGCAUUAAGCGCCCCGCCUGGGGAGUACGGCCGCAAGGCUAAAACUCAAAGGAAUUGACGG
Molecule: ribosomal RNA, 569 nt
Filed under: uncultured Nocardioides sp.
Lineage: Bacteria; Bacillati; Actinomycetota; Actinomycetes; Propionibacteriales; Nocardioidaceae
Description: bacterial SSU rRNA
Rfam family: Bacterial small subunit ribosomal RNA
Source: RNAcentral